CACCGCGGUUAUACGAGGAGCCCAAGUUGACAGCCUCCGGCGUAAAGCGUGGUUAAGAUCAAAAUAUAUUAAAGCCGAACGCAAACUAAGCUGUCAAACGCAUUCGAAAAUAGAAGCCCAAUUACGAAAGUAGCUUUAUAUUUCUGACCCCACGAAAGCCAGGGCA
This 166-nucleotide ribosomal RNA is filed under the name Luzonichthys waitei. RNAcentral describes it as "partial 12S rRNA". The record is from RNAcentral. Lineage: Eukaryota; Metazoa; Chordata; Actinopteri; Perciformes; Anthiadidae.